GUGAAUCAUCGAAUCUUUGAACGCAAAUUGCGCCUUUUUCGGAAGGCAUGUCUGUUUGAGGGCCACAUUUAACAAAUAAUGUGCAGCGCUUUUUGUUGCACACGUUGAUGAGAUUUCCAAGAAUUUUAAAUUUUUGGUGGCGCAUAAUGAACAGCGUGAAAGUUUUUUUAAGUUAGAGUGUAGUAUACUAUUUGCUUGGGUUGUGAAAAAACAUAAUCGAUCAAUGGGGGUGGC
Molecule: unclassified non-coding RNA, 234 nt
Filed under: Paraglomerales sp.
Lineage: Eukaryota; Fungi; Glomeromycota; Glomeromycetes; Paraglomerales
Description: partial contains 5.8S ribosomal RNA and internal transcribed spacer 2
Rfam family: 5.8S ribosomal RNA (bases 1-65)
Source: RNAcentral